Diorhabda carinulata is the source of this 3302-nucleotide long non-coding RNA. RefSeq lists it as uncharacterized. The record is from RefSeq and is a predicted model, not a curated record. The transcript has 2 exons. Lineage: Eukaryota; Metazoa; Arthropoda; Insecta; Coleoptera; Chrysomelidae.
CGAAAUUUUUCUGAAGGCAAGGACACACAUUUACAAUCUCCUUUGACCUAUGAUGUGUUAUAGGCCGUGUAAAUGUUCUUUCAGUCAGGUGUGAGGCUUGUUGAAGUUGUAGCACAAGUUGUCUCUCUCAGAUGUGCAUGUUUUUCUUCUAGAACCGCGUCCUCGAUCAAAGUAACCAGUCUUCUGGUAACGACGGUGAAUUCUGGAGACUAAUGUGUUCUCUGGCACAUCGUAGACGGGCUGCGUGGUGAGCUAGGGUUAAUUAAUUUGGGGCCAGUAGCAAACAUUUUUGCUCCAGGUGAGCUGCCCUAAAUCAUCUUCUGACUGUAUAACCAACCAUAGCCACUCCUCGCGUUUCUCCGACAAUGAAUCGGUCAUCUCUCUCAAAUGGCCAUUUUUUUUUAGAACUGCGUCUUUAAUAAAAGUUACCGGUCAUCUGUUCAUGUUCAGCCAUGUUCAGCUAUUUCUCAUUGACUCUGGCCUUGUCGCUUGAGCAGCUUUAUCAUUUGGUUUGUCCAUUUUCAGAUGGGGUUCUCGUUUAUUGUUAAGCGAUGUGUAUAACCUUUUAGAGUGUAAGUUACCUCUAAUUACCAUUAUUUUAAACAAUCAUAAAAAGGGUGGUUACCGGUCACAAGGCGAAUACAAUAAGUCCUAGGGUUUUACUAAGAAAAUUUUGAGCUCAAUUGUUGUAUACAGUGAGUUACGGUUGCAGAAUUUAUAAUAUGAAUCGAUUUUUCUGCUCACGAGCAUAUAUCAGACUCUAAAAAAUUUUGUAGGUGUUGAUAUUUUUUCUAGUUUGUAAAUUUAUUAAUUAGAUAACUCUUAUUAGAUCUGAUAUCACAUAAAAGACCGCAUAAGAGCUAUUCCUGUAAAAUCAAACGCAUUUCAAAGAAAAAAAGGGGCAUAUGGUGAAAUAAUUAUUUUUAAGAAAUAAUGAAAUUCAGUCAAUUCAAUCAGUAUAAUGAAUACCAAACAUGUUUCGAUCCAUGGCUAAAAAUGAAAAAAUAUUUAAAUCAUAAAUAUGAUUUUUAUUCUCUAUAAAUCUAUAACUAUUGUCAGGAUUUCAUAUUUUAACGAUUACUAAUCUGUCUUUGAACGCAACGCGCGAAUAGUUUACGAAAAUAUCAUUAUUCAUUCAGUAGAUAUGGAAAAAGCGUUCUUUUGAUAUGUGAAUAACUUUUUUAAUCUUUAUAACCUAAAUUCGAUGGUUUUACUAUGCUAUUUGUUGAGCUUUCUCGAUGGUGCUUUAUGAUCCACAGUCCCCGUACGCAGUGUCUAGCUUCACUUUCAUUUGCGUUGGCUUACUGCUUUUCAAAAUCAAUUAUUUAAUAACACCUACCCACACUUAUAUAUACGUUUGUCAAAUAGAAUCUAGAUGUUUGAAUGGGGUGAUAUAUUCAGGUCGAAGUGGGAAACUUUUCAGUGAACCUCCGUAUAUUUGUUCCAUAUAACGAUUAUACUCACCCUCUUUAGAAAAUUGUUCAAAAUUACAGUAAACUGCAGGCACUAGGUGUGACCCUCAUUGUGUUUGAUAUUGAUAGUCACUAUGACUUCCUUGGAAGUACAUUUUUGUAAUUCCUAUAUGCUCAUGAUCGAAUGAAAAACACAAAAAAUGCUCUUUGUUUAAAAAAAAUGAAAUUAAUAUUCAAAAUUAGAGAAAAGCCUGUUAGAUCAUUUGACAAAUUAUGAUAUUUGAAAUUUUGAAUAAUGUCCUGCACCGCUUCCAUAAAUAUAUAUUGAGAUUACCGUAAAACGGCAUCCAGUGAAUCCGCUUCCUAGAGCAUCCCGACGUCGACCGCUUUGGCCGACGCUACAAGUGGCGCCUCACGGCGGAGUAAUGCCGCACCAACCGCCCUACUUGAAGUAAUGUACACUUAAAAAGUCAGAAAAGUUAAUUAAUUAUUUUAAACAGUUUGGAAUGUGCUUGAGCACGAUUUCCCUUUUGAAUGAUAAUGUGAAAAGUUAGCGGAAAACUUUCUCGUCUUUAUUUAUUAGAUUUUCUUUUUAAGUUGUACGCCGCGCCGAGGUUUAGAACAGCUGUUUUAAGGUUUGUUGGGAAAAUCUGAUUACAAUAAUUUUGAUAUUGGGAAAUUACAUACUUUUAUGAAACAAUUGUAUUUUUGAGAAUUUAACUGAUUACGUUUAUUGUAAUUUUAUGUACAAAUUUAGAGGUUUCAUAAAAAAAUGCUGUCAAUCAUAAAAAUAAACCUUAACUAUAUUGGAUUGAAAUCAUGGAGUUGUACUGAAAAUAAUGCACAAUUAUUUCCUCGUGUGAGUCGUGAAUCUCAUUAUUCACUAUUCGCUAUCCCUAUCUUCUAUAUGUCUUUCUUAAAUGCAUCUAGCCAUUUCCUAGCAUGGACGCACUCUUCUUCGUUUUACGUCUUCUCCACUUUUUAACACUGGCUGUUACCCUCAACCAACGCAGUUUUUCUUAUAGUGAUAUUGUUGAAAUGAGAAAGAAUGUUUGCCUUGUUAUGUAAUAGAUUAAACACGAUUCCACAAAUCAGUUUAGUGGAUAGUAGACAUUGAAACUCUACAGGCCUUCGCUACAAAGCUUGAUAUGAUUUAGGAUCCAAGAAUAUAUGGGUGAUUCCAUUAUAACUGUGAUAUUCAAUGUCCUGUAUUGUUUUUUUGUACUAGUCAUUAAUUAAUAAUCAAUUAAUAAAAAUUUUGUGUUAAUUGAAUAAUUCUUAAGAUAUUUAAACAUUAUUUUUAUACAAUAUAACUUGCCACUUAAAGAAAACUUAUACUACAUCACUUGAAUGUCAGUACCGUGUCAUGUCCAUUCCUAGAAUUUACCGAUAAAUUAUUAAUUUUUUUUUGUCGUAACAAAUGAUUUAAACUAAUUACCUUAUAAAUUCUAAUGUUUAUGAUCAAACUGAGGAAAAUUGAUGCACUUGUUGUUUAAUAUCUUAAGUUACCAUGUCAGUACCGUGGAUAAAUGAGUCAGUACCGUGGAACUCAAAAUCCGACAUUUGUGUCUUGCUCGUGAUACUUUGAAGUUGUAGUAAAUUCCUCUUAGAGUUUUAUUUUUACAGUAAAAUAGAUGAAUAAUAUGCAUAAAAAAGUUAGAAAAGUUAAAUUUUAAAAUCUUGAAAUUUUGAAUACAAAAAAUCACAGUUAGAACGGAAUCACCCAUAUAACCCACCUGUAAUAUAAAAAAUAAUCUAUCAUGUCACAAGUCAUUGAUUGUAGUAGUUGAUUCACAAUUUAUCUUCUAGGUAAGUUUUGUAAAUCUGUGAAAAAAAAUAUAUAUGUUUCUCGGGAAAGUUAUUGUAAUAUUAAAAAAAGAAUGAUAGGAG